This 503-nucleotide ribosomal RNA is filed under the name uncultured bacterium. RNAcentral's name for it is "partial 16S ribosomal RNA". It matches the Rfam family "Bacterial small subunit ribosomal RNA", at positions 28 to 507 of the family's 1533-position model. The record is from RNAcentral.
GACGAACGCUGGCGGCGUGCUUAACACAUGCAAGUCGAACGGUGAAGCGCUUUCCUUUUUGGUUGGUGUGGAUGAGUGGCGAACGGGUGAGUAACACGUGAGUAACCUGCCCCCUUCUUCUGGAUAACCGCAUGAAAGUGUGGCUAAUACGGGAUAUUCUGCGCCUGCUGCAUGGUGGGUGUGGGAAAGAUUGUGCCUUUGGGUGUUUUCGGUGGGGGAUGGGCUCGCGGCCUAUCAGCUUGUUGGUGGGGUGAUGGCCUACCAAGGCGGUGACGGGUAGCCGGCCUGAGAGGGUGGACGGUCACACUGGGACGGAGACACGGCCCAGACGCCUACGGGAGGCAGCAGUGGGGAAUAGUGCACAAGGGGCGGAAGCCUGAUGCAGCGACGCCGAGUGAGGGAGGGGGGCCGUCGGGUGGUGAACCUCUUUCGUCAGUGAAGCAGGCCUGCUCCUUGUGGGUGGGUUGACGGUAGCUGGAUAAGAAGCGCCGGCUAACUACGUG